RNAcentral lists this long non-coding RNA (1088 nucleotides) under Fukomys damarensis (Damara mole-rat). Its description in RNAcentral is "lncRNA (ENSFDAG00000030663.1)". The record is from RNAcentral. Lineage: Eukaryota; Metazoa; Chordata; Mammalia; Rodentia; Bathyergidae.
UAUAAAUCAUUCAUUUGAGAAAACAACAACCAAAAUGUCACUUGGAACCACCAGACCUUCUUUGGAAGGUGUAACCUUAGGUUCUGGAAACAUGAAAUUUUAUAACUUGAAACAUGUAGUUCUGUCUCCUAACAUUAAACUUGAGUUCAUGUUACAGAUCUCAUCCUUUGUCAAGUGACUUCAUUCCUCUGGAAAGUUUGUUCUAAGGAUCUUUACAGACACCAUCAAGGAACUUUUACAUCCAUCCAACAUAGCCAUAAGACUAUGAAACAUGAUUCAGCUCAAACAGGAAGUUUUGGUGGAAUUACAGGUGUAAUUCUCCGAGCUGAUCUUCAAGAUGUCCCUUGCCAUGUAAGACACUGCCCCACACUGUGCUUCUGGGAAGUUCCAAGACAGACUAGGUGUUCCAAGUCCUUGUCCAAUACUCUGCCAGGACCUGGGCCAGCCUUUUGGGACUUUAAGGCAAAAGUUCAGCUUACAAGAAAGGACAUAAAAGUCCUAUGCAUACCCAGGGGACAGCCAUGCUCCUGCCUGGCCAAAGCCUGGCCUCUACUGCAUGAUGAAAUCUCUCUGCCCAGGUCCACUGUCCAUCUAAUGAGCUAUCUGAAUCCCACAGAGUCCCCUGGGGGUGACGCAGCCACCGGGCACAGGGAACAGAGGACAAGGGAGCAUGGCAGUGAGCCGAGUCCACUCAGAAUCUGCCUGAGGCUCACAUAACCCACAACGCACAUGAUUCUGCUAAUCAGAGCGGUUGGGCUCACAGAUCACAGAGGGCUGACUGCAAAAACUGUCAGCUCACUCCCAGGCCCUCCCUGCUCUACCAGUGCCCUAUCCUCACCUGCGGGGUUAGCUUCACAGCCCCUGGAUGUGAUGAUCUGAGUCACCACCACUUGUGUGUCUGGUCUGGACCCCACCUCUGAAUUCUAGAAUCUCCUUGGAACAGUAACACGUGUCUCUAACAGACUUUCAAACUUAACAGAUCCAAGCUGGACUCCCGAGGCCCCUCCCCUCCUCUUGCUGCACCCACAUUUUUUUUGGCAUCAAUAAAUACCGGUCCCACUCCUCUAUUUGCUCAGAGUAAAUUCUUU